RNAcentral lists this unclassified non-coding RNA (268 nucleotides) under Hevea brasiliensis (rubber tree). The record is from RNAcentral. Lineage: Eukaryota; Viridiplantae; Streptophyta; Magnoliopsida; Malpighiales; Euphorbiaceae.
CAAAGCUCGAUUGAUAAAGGUCAGACUCACGUUAUUGCUGCCCUUAUUGACAUGAAUGCCAAGUGUGGGAACAUGGAUAGAGCAAAAAAGUUGUUUGAAGAGAUGCCUAAACGAGAUCUGAUUUCAUAUUGUUCUAUGAUACAAGGAUUGUCCAUUCAUGGGUGUGCCGAAGAGGCCGUUGGAUUAUUCAAUAGGAUGCUAAAUGAGAGAUUAAUUCCUGAUGAGGCGGCAUUUACUGUCAUUUUGGCAGCUUGCAGCCGAGGGGGGC